Tupaia belangeri (northern tree shrew) is the source of this 202-nucleotide small nucleolar RNA. Its record names the gene SNORA73. It matches the Rfam family "Small nucleolar RNA SNORA73 family". From Rfam's summary of the family: U17 (SNORA73A and SNORA73B) also known as E1 belongs to the H/ACA class of small nucleolar RNAs (snoRNAs). The record is from Ensembl. NCBI's taxonomy places the organism in Eukaryota, Metazoa, Chordata, Mammalia, Scandentia, Tupaiidae.
CCAGUGUGGAUACCCCUGGGAGGUCACACUCCUCGGGGCUCUGCCCAGGUGGCUAAGGGAGCAGAGAGCUUUGCCCCAUGAUGUACACUCCCUUCCCACAACGUGGAGAUGAACUGGGCCUCUGUCUGCUCCUGCAUAUUUCCACAGCUUCUCAGAGUCUUGCGGACAAUGACCAAGGAGACAAGCCAUGCAGUAAACAUCC